Molecule: RNA transcript, 1364 nt
Organism: Strigops habroptila (Kakapo)
Lineage: Eukaryota; Metazoa; Chordata; Aves; Psittaciformes; Psittacidae
Gene: MCEE
Gene name: methylmalonyl-CoA epimerase
Exons: 3
Source: RefSeq, a predicted model, not a curated record
GGCGCCGGGAGGGCCGGGGCGGGCGGCGGGGCCGGUGACUUGCGGCCGCGGGUCUCGGUGCCCGCUCCGGCCUGGAGGUCCGGCCCGCGCCGGCGGGCAGCCCCGCUUUGCGCAGGGGCCCGGCGGGCCGUCAGGGCGGGACCGCGCCGCCCUUGCCUGCCGUGCGGUGCGGGAGCGGGUCCGAGGCUCCCGGUGACAGCCUUACAGGCCGCGACAAACCAGAACGGCUUUUAUAAACGAAAACAAGGGCUCAUGAUCCAGAUGACAGACACGUUAACAACUGGCAUUCUUAGGCUUAGAAUAGGCUUGUGCGGCAAACUCCAAGCUUAAUACUUUAGGCACAAGGAACAGCUUGUCUUUUUUAAGGGCUUCUUACCAGAUUACAGACUUCAGCUACCACAACACGAACUCUAUUACCAUCCAGUUCCUGUUCUCAAAACAUUCCAAGCUGUUUGUGGAAACUGGGCCGACUUAAUCACGUAGCAAUUGCAGUACCUGAUUUGGAGAAAGCUCAGUCCUUGUAUAAAGAUGUGUUAGGAGCACAGGUUAGUGAGACUGUUGCUCUUCCUGAACAUGGUGUCUACACUGUUUUUGUGGAGCUGGGAAAUACCAAGCUGGAACUUCUACAUCCUUUAGGAGAAGAGAGUCCCAUUGCAAGCUUUCUGCAAAAAAACAAGAUUGGAGGAAUGCAUCAUAUCUGCAUUGAGGUUGAUGACAUAAAAGUGGCUAUGACAGAACUGAAGAAAAAAAAGAUACGAAUAUUGAGUGAAGAGCCAAAAAUAGGUGCACAUGGCAAACCUGUGAUUUUUCUUCACCCUAAAGAUUGCCAUGGAGUCCUUGUGGAACUUGAGCAAGCUUGAGCUGUAAUAUUCAUAAAUAAAACAAUAGAUUAGUUGUGAAGUUACUGAGCUGGUGCUGGGAAUAUUGAUGUGAUAUUCACUCUUUACAAGUUCACUGUAGUUGCCAUGGAUUAAGUACAGCUUUUGUGUACUGAAAUUGUGCUACAGAUUUAGGGUUCUUUUUUGUUGGUGGUGAUCUGAUUUUCAGAAUUAAGAUUUACAUUUUUUGAAUUCUCUGUGAUUCUAGAGACAAACACAUAAGCCAAGUAGUAAUUUAUGUUCUGUUGCCUCAUGUUUGCAGCACGAUUUUAGCUCUGUAACCACAGAAACUGUACAAUUUCUAGGUCAACCCACAUUAUUUUGUUCCACAUUUCAGAGCAGAGACCCACUUCUCCGUGACAACAAUAUAGAUUAGAUAUUCACCUUAGAAAAAUUAACAUUGUAUUUUCUGUUUUCACCAUUCACCACCUGUGCUUCACACUGAUUGAUUGGUUCAUGCAAUAAAAAAAUCCUUAUGUUAUUGUA